UACAGAGGGGGCAAGCGUUGUUCGGAAUUACUGGGCGUAAAGGGCGCGUAGGCGGCCUGCUAAGUCGAACGUGAAAUCCCCGGGCUCAACCCGGGAACUGCGUCCGAUACUGGCAGGCUUGAAUCCGGGAGAGGGAUGUGGAAUUCCAGGUGUAGCGGUGAAAUUCGUAGAUAUUCGGAAGAACACCAGUGGCGAAGGCGGCUCACUGGACUGGUAUUGACGCUGAGGUGCGAAAGCGUGGGGAGCAAACAGG
RNAcentral lists this ribosomal RNA (253 nucleotides) under uncultured bacterium. RNAcentral's name for it is "partial 16S ribosomal RNA". It matches the Rfam family "Bacterial small subunit ribosomal RNA", at positions 524 to 776 of the family's 1533-position model. The record is from RNAcentral.